This 1498-nucleotide long non-coding RNA is filed under the name Hordeum vulgare. Its description in RNAcentral is "long non-coding RNA (HVUL_LNC019656)". The record is from RNAcentral. Lineage: Eukaryota; Viridiplantae; Streptophyta; Magnoliopsida; Poales; Poaceae.
ACAAACUAGCCAAAAUAGGUUGAACUAAACUGGUAUCAACAACACAAACUCAAAUCUAUUUUGAACAUCACAAACUCAAAGUUGUUUUCAACAACAGUCAGACAUCAUGAAAUUACUUCUUGUUGCUGCCCUGAGAACAACUAAACCACUCAGACAUCUUAUAAGAUGGUUUUUCUCAGCCUUCCAGUACAUGAAGCUCUUGGUGGUAUGAAGCUUUUCUUUGCCCUUUGCUUAGCAACGGUAGUAGAUGAUCCUGAAGUAGAAGCAGCAGCAGUAGAUGCAGUUGUCCUAGAAGCAGCAGUAGUAGAUGAUCCUGGAGUAGAAGCAGUAGUACUAGAUGCAGUUGGCCUAGAAGCAGCAGCACUAGAUGUAGUUGGCCUAGAAGUAGCAGCAGCAGUAGAAGUACUUGAUCUCCUAGCUGCAGCAAGAGCUGAUGGAGCUGCCCUAGGUGCUGGUGGAGUUGUACUUCUUGCCCUGGAUGGUGCUCGAGCUGUUGUAGCUUGCCUUGGUGUUGAUGCAUCAACUCUUCUGUUUUCCUACAGUCAAAACAUAUAAAUAUUAUAAGAUAGUAUAAGAAAUGUUACCAUAAACUGAUGUUUGGGAAGUUUGGACAAUUUGGGAUUUAUUGUGGGGCUCGGAAAAUGGGAAGCGCAAGACUCAUUGGCUCAGUUGGGACAAGAUGACAAGGACGAAAGGGCAAGGUAGCAUCGGGUUCAGAGACAUGAGGAUUUUCAAUCAGGCAUUCCUCGCACGUCAAACAUGGCGACUGCCACAGGCUCCUGAAAGUCUAUGUGCCCGGGUGUUGAAGGCGCGCUACUAUCCGCAAGGAAACCUCUUGGACACAGCCUUCACCGGGUAGUCAUCGUCCACCUGGACGGCCAUUGCCCAUGGCUUGGAGCUGCUAAAACAAGGCAUGAUAUGGCAUAUCAGGAAUGGGCAAUCAGUCUGCAUCUGGCGGGAUAAUUGGUUGCCACGCUCUACCUCGCUCAAACCAAUUGCCCCACAUGGUCGAUCGAGACUCAUCGAGGUCUCUAGUCUGCUGGAUCAGUAUGGUGUGUGGGAUGAGGCUGCUGUGUGGGUGAACUUUGCACCGAUUGAUGCCAGUACAAAACUCAAAAUCCGCACCUCACCGCGUGGUGAUCCGGACAUCCUCGCUUGGCAGCCAGAGAAAAAUGGAAUAUUUACCGUCCGUAGUGCCUACAAACUAGGUCUGAAUCUCACGGAGAGCGCACGGAAUGUGACGGAUUCGAGCAAUAGCCCAAUGGAGAUCGCCAAAAUCUGGAAGAAGAUCUGGAACCUACACGUACCUCCUAGGGUCCGGACGUUUGCAUGGCGUGCAAUCACAAACUCACUAGCAACGGAGGACAACAAGAAGGGCCAUCAUAUCCCUAAUAGGCCUCGUUUGGUUAAUAGGCCUCGUUUGGUUAAGGGGGAUUGGGAAGGUUUUAAGAGAGAGGGAUUUCAAGGGAUUGAGUGAAUCUCUUUGUUCCACCCAAUC